Molecule: ribosomal RNA, 468 nt
Filed under: uncultured bacterium
Lineage: Bacteria
Description: partial 16S ribosomal RNA
Rfam family: Bacterial small subunit ribosomal RNA
Source: RNAcentral
GACGAACGCUGGCGGCGUGCUUAACACAUGCAAGUCGAACGGAAAGGCCCUGCUUUUGUGGGGUGCUCGAGUGGCGAACGGGUGAGUAACACGUGAGUAACCUGCCCUUGACUUUGGGAUAACUUCAGGAAACUGGGGCUAAUAUCGGACAGGAGCCCCUGCUGCAUUGUGGGGGUUGGAAAUUUUCGGCGGUUGGGGAUGGACUCGCGGCUUAUCAGCUUGUUGGUGGGGUAGUGGCUUACCAAGGCUUUGACCGGUAGCCGGCCUGAGAGGGUGACCGGCCACAUUAGGACUGAGAUACGGACCAGACUCCGACGGGAGGCAGCGGUGGGGAAUAUUGCACAAUGAGCGGGAGCCUGAUGAAGCAACGCUGCGGGCGGGAUGACGGCCUUCGGGUUGUAAACCGCUUUCGCCUGUGACGAAGCGGGAGUGACGGUAAUGAGUAAAGAAGCACCGGCUAACUACGUG